Long non-coding RNA from Diuraphis noxia (Russian wheat aphid), 406 nucleotides. The record is from RefSeq and is a predicted model, not a curated record. NCBI's taxonomy places the organism in Eukaryota, Metazoa, Arthropoda, Insecta, Hemiptera, Aphididae.
GGCAGUCGCGGGAUCGCCUGCGCGCCGGUUAUUUGGUUUGCGAGUUCUCGAACCGCACUUUCCAACUGCGAGAUGCAAUGGUGGUAAUCUUUGCUGAGCUUCGUUCAAGGUUCAACACGUUUUCACUGAGAGAUUUACAAGUCUCCGAUAACGGCAAUCACGGCGCACGGGUUAUCGGUACUUAUAACUGUAAUACCAUCAUUCGUCGUUCGUUCGGUCGUCAGCACCACCCGGCAGAUUCAAAAACGAAAACGGCAUUUAAAGAAAAUCUAUUUUCAUAAUACCUAGUGCAAUUAAUAGAGCAUCUACGCCAUGAACAGGUCUAUAACAGAUGAAAAUAGUGAAAUAAAACGGCCUCUUAAUCCAAGAUCUAAUGCAAAUACAUUUGAAAUCAUUACUUAUAGGU